CGCAGAACUGCAGAGCCUGCUGAAUUCUGGCUGACCAGGGCAGUCAACAGCUCUCCAGACAAUGUCUGCCUCCUUCCUCGUCUUCCUCUCUGUGCUCCCAUGGGGUGUCUUGUCACAGGUGCAGCUGCAGGAGUCAGGUCCAGGACUGGUGAGGCCCUCACAGACCCUCUCACUCACCUGUGCCAUCUCUGGGGACAGUGUCUCUAGCAACAGUGCUACUUGGAACUGGAUCAGGCAGUCACCAGGGAGAGGCCUUGAGUGGCUGGGAAGGACAUACUACAGGUCCAAGUGGUAUUAUAACUAUGUAACAUCUCUGCAAAGUCGAAUAACCAUCAACCCAGACACAUCCAAGAACCAGUUCUCCCUGCAGCUGAACUCUGUGACCCUCGAGGACACAGCCGUGUAUUACUGUGCAAGACAAUAUUAUACUAGCGGAUACUUUGAAUACUGGGGCCAGGGGACCCUGGUCACCGUCUCCUCAGGGACUGCGUCCGCCCCAGCCCUCUUCCCCCUCGUCUCCUGUGAGAAUGCCCUGUUGGAUACGAGCACAGUGUCCGUUGGCUGCCUGGCGCGGGACUUCCUGCCUGACUCCAUCACUUUCUCCUGGAAAUACAAGAACAACUCUGACAUCAACAGCAUCCAAGGCUUCCAAUCACUCCUGAGAGAGGGCAAGUACAUGGCCACCUCGCAGGUGCUGCUGCCUUCCAGGGACCUCAUGCAGGGCACGGACAACCACGUGGUGUGCAAAGUCCAGCACCCUAAAGGCAGCCAGGAAAAGAACGUGCCUCUUCCAGUGUUCAUAGAGCUGCCGCCCAGCGUGAGUGUCUUCAUCCCACCCCGCGACGCCUUCGCCGGCAACCCCCGCACGUCCAAGCUCAUCUGCCAGGCCACGGGCUUCAGCCCCCGGCAGAUCAAGGUGUCCUGGCUGCAGGAGGGGAAGAAGCUGGAGUCUGGCUUCACCACCAGCCAGGUGGAGGCUGAGGCCAAAGAGUCUGGGCCCACGACCUUCAAGGUGACCAGCACGCUGACCGUCGCCGAGAAAGACUGGCUCAGCCAGAGCGUGUUCACCUGCCGCAUGGAUCACAGCGGCCUGGCCUUCGAGAAGAACGUGUCCUCCGCGUGCGGCACCAAUCCAGCCACAGGCAUCCGCGUCUUUGCCAUCCCUCCAUCCUUUGCCAGCAUUUUCCUCACCAAGUCCACAAAGUUGACCUGCCUGGUCACAGACCUGGCCACCUACGACAGUGUGACCAUCUCCUGGACCCGCCAGAACAGCGAAGUUCUGAAGACCCACACCAACAUCUCUGAGAGCCACCCCAAUGGCACCUUCAGCGCCACAGGUGUGGCCAGCAUCUGUGAGGACGAGUGGAACUCCGGGGAGAGGUUCACCUGCACCGUGACGCACACUGACCUGCCCUCACCGCUGAAGCAGAGCAUCUCCAGGCCCAAGGGGGCGGCCCUGCACAGGCCCGACGUCUACUUGCUGCCGCCGGCCCGGGAGCAGCUGAGCCUGCGGGAGUGGGCAACCGUCACCUGCCUGGUGACCGGCUUCUCUCCCGCGGACAUCUUCGUGCAGUGGAUGCAGAGAGGGCAGCCUCUGCCCCAGGAGAAGUACGUGACCAGCGCGCCAGUGCCCGAGCCCCAGACCCCAGGCCUGUACUUCGCCUACAGCACCCUGACAGUGUCCGAGGAGGACUGGAAUGCAGGGGAGAGCUACGCCUGCGUCGUGGGCCAUGAGGCCCUGCCCAACAGGGUCACCGAGAGGACCGUGGACAAGUCCACCGAGGGGGAGGUGAGCGCCGACGAGGAGGGCUUUGAGAACCUGUGGGCCACCGCCUCCACCUUCAUCGUCCUCUUCCUCCUGAGCCUCUUCUACAGUACCACCGUCACCCUGUUCAAGGUAAAAUGAUCCCAACCAAAGAACGAAGAACGUCAGAGACCAGAGAGGAACGCAAGGGUGCUGCUCCAGACCUGGGGUCCCCGCCCUCGUGACCCUUGGCGAGUGUUUCUCUUCCCACCCGGCCUCCAGCUGUGUGCUUCAACACAGGCUUCCUUCUAGACGGGCAGGGCUGGCUGGCGAGCAGGUCACCACGUUGGCUCUACCCACACUGCUUUGCUGUGUAUACGCUUGUUGCCCUGAAAUAAACAUGCACAUUUUAUCCAUGAAA
Sapajus apella (tufted capuchin) is the source of this 2165-nucleotide non-coding RNA. The record is from the annotation of a RefSeq genome assembly. Lineage: Eukaryota; Metazoa; Chordata; Mammalia; Primates; Cebidae.